RNAcentral lists this long non-coding RNA (534 nucleotides) under Felis catus (domestic cat). RNAcentral's name for it is "lncRNA (ENSFCAG00000049350.1)". Lineage: Eukaryota; Metazoa; Chordata; Mammalia; Carnivora; Felidae. The record is from RNAcentral.
UCCUGCUCCUCCACUGACCCUCGGAGCCCCAUGGCUGCUGCUUCAACUUCUCUCUUCUCCUGUAGCCAGCUUUAACCCGGAUGCAAACGUGGAAGGGGAUUCUGGGAAAUGUAGUCCCAGCCUGGCAAAGCUCCACAGGCAUCUUCACUGAAGGCUUUAGAUCCCCAUUUAAGAGCCAUCCUUUAAUACAACCUAGGAUCCCUGUUCUGUGUGAUCAGGCCCCUCCGCAGAGCUGUGGACAUGCCCAAAGCCAGCACUCCCCUCUGAUUCAGAACCACGGACAGCACCACCACCCUUUCCCAGGGCCCACCCCCUAGCCCCAGCCAGGUGCACGUCUCUUCUCUCACCAAAGCAUCCCCACCUGGAGAGUGGAUGACACCCAGCUGGCAUUCCUCACUCCCUGUCUCCUGCACACCUGACUCCUGGGACCAGAGCCCUCACGGGCAAAGCCCUAGAGGUUGGCAGACCCCGCCACCCUCUGGAGCAAUGGAAAAACUCCAACCUCCAACCUCCAACCUCCAACCUCCAACCUCC